GCAGGCUUUUGUCGCGCAGCCGCCGCUCGCAGCCCGCCGCUCUGAAGCUCGGCCUGGCCAAACUGGGCGUAGCGCUCCCCCCCUCCCACUGGCACGUCUUCCCAGCCACGUCCGCGCACCCCGCGGCCGCCGACUCCAACCUCGGCCCAGCCACCGUCCCCAUGCAACCACUACCGGCGCUCUGGCUCGCCUCGCACUGGUUUGCAAUGGCCUUCUACAGCCAGGCCGGGUCCGAUCCACCUGGGGGAUGUACGGAUCAGGCACCCCUCGUCACCUUGAAGAUACCGGCCCAGGCUCCACCCCGUGUCCAGUGCAGAAGCCGCAGGGAGCUGGAUACCUGCAGAGUUGCUGGGCAGUCUGACUUCUACAGUCCUCUGUCCGCCUAGCCUCAAGGCCGAGGCUGCCCGCGUGGCCUCGCUCUCGUCUGGUUUUUGCCCGCUCCUGGCGCCUCUGCUGCCAAGCAUCGAACCGGAACCGGAGAGUUUUUGGUUUGGAGCUGUUCCCGGGAGGCCCCUAGAUGACACGGCUUCUGCCCCCAAGUACACAGAGAAGAUUUCAGGCCGUGUGUUAGCAACUUCAUGCCUAUUAACGUCUGGAACGCGUCACCGGCUAGGUGGUGCACGAGGACUCUGCCGGCUGCGGCGGGGGCCUGAGAUCAGAUCCGCUGCCGUUUCAUCCUUGGUGAGCUCUGAAGCUAGGAGAGGGCAGCAGGCAGAGGUCUCCAUCCUGCGAGCGCCCGGCUACUGCUCUGGCCUGGGCUGUGCCGCUCCAGCUCCUGCUGCUGCCAGGUCCAUGACACCCAGUGAAUGCUGUAGGCAGCCAGGCUGCGUUUUGUUUCUUUCCCGGGUCCCAGGAAACCAGGAGUCAAUUGAAGUGAUGGAUUGAGGAUUAUUUUCCCGGGCUGGCUGGCAGGCAGGCAGGCAGGCAAGUUUUCAUUGCACCAACUUUAAUUCCACGUGCAAGGGCAAUCUCCCUUCGGGCUUCAGUUGUAUUGGGGCUGCAUCGGUAUUUCUCGUUUCUACAGCCAAAGCGCUUUCCUGAAAAGCUCUCACGCAGGACAGUCCACCGAAGGUGAGGGGUCCUUUGACACCCGCGCCCUGGAAGGAGAAGUCUGGGCCCCACUUGGGGUUCUCAAACAGGCUUGUUAGGCCUGGCCUCCUUGGCUGGCACCUGAGGCGGUUUCCUCUGCGGAGCCGGGAUCUGCCUUUAGCUCUGAGCUCCCGAAAAAUAAAUAAAUAAUAAAUAAAUAAAAAU
This is a non-coding RNA of Peromyscus maniculatus bairdii (prairie deer mouse), 1254 nucleotides long. Lineage: Eukaryota; Metazoa; Chordata; Mammalia; Rodentia; Cricetidae. The record is from RefSeq and is a predicted model, not a curated record.